Ochlerotatus camptorhynchus is the source of this 503-nucleotide long non-coding RNA. RefSeq lists it as uncharacterized. Lineage: Eukaryota; Metazoa; Arthropoda; Insecta; Diptera; Culicidae. The record is from RefSeq and is a predicted model, not a curated record. The transcript has 3 exons.
AUGCAAGUCUUUCUCUGACAUAAAACGUGAGUGUCAAAGAAGACGAAUUUCUGGUAAAUUUUAUAGAGCAAUGCGAUACGGACGAUCCAGAUUGCCGGAAAUCUUCCUAGUUGUAGUAUUCGGCAUUGGUGGAGGAUUCUACGCGUUUCAGCCGGCAUUCAAACAGUACCAGAUCGAACAGACGACGCCUGUAGGGACGGGGAAAGUCGAGGGAGGCAAAACUACUGCACCACAAGCAAAGUAGAAGUUUGUAGAGUCAACGUUGGAAUAAUUCAGGAUGUCCACCUUGGUCAAUAUGUACCGAGUGUUGCGGGGUUCUCCCGCAGCGCUUCUCGGAGGUGCUAUCCUUAUCACCGGAUCCGUGAUGUUUGUCGUCAAAAGAGUGUACGAACCAUACGCAGCUCGAAAUAGACGAGCCGAAGCGGAAUACAUAGCGGAGUAUCUGUUUCGGAAGGAACAACAAUCGCGUGGCGUAGAGUUCCAUGAUGAUAAAGAGACCCUUA